Molecule: ribosomal RNA, 300 nt
Filed under: uncultured Pseudoalteromonas sp.
Lineage: Bacteria; Pseudomonadati; Pseudomonadota; Gammaproteobacteria; Alteromonadales; Pseudoalteromonadaceae
Description: bacterial SSU rRNA
Rfam family: Bacterial small subunit ribosomal RNA
Source: RNAcentral
UGCUUGGGAAUAUGCCUUUAGGUGGGGGACAACAGUUGGAAACGACUGCUAAUACCGCAUAAUGUCUACGGACCAAAGUGGGGGACCUUCGGGCCUCACGCCUAAAGAUUAGCCCAAGUGGGAUUAGCUAGUUGGUUGAGGUAAAGGCUCACCAAGGCGACGAUCCCUAGCUGGUUUGAGAGGAUGAUCAGCCACACUGGAACUGAGACACGGUCCAGACCCCUACGGGAGGCAGCAGUGAGGAAUUUUCCGCAAUGGGCGAAAGCCUGACGGAGCAAUACCGCGUGAGGGAUUAAGGCC